Molecule: ribosomal RNA, 499 nt
Filed under: uncultured bacterium
Lineage: Bacteria
Description: partial 16S ribosomal RNA
Rfam family: Bacterial small subunit ribosomal RNA
Source: RNAcentral
GACGAACGCUGGCGGCGUGCUUAACACAUGCAAGUCGAACGGGCCCGCUCUCUUUUUUGGGGGUGGGUUGAGUGGCGAACGGGUGAGUAUCACGUGAGUAACCUGCCCCCUGCUCCUGGAUAACUGCUUGAAAGGGCGGCUAAUACGGGGUGUGCCGGCUGGUCCGCAUGGGCCUGGUCGGGAUAGUUUCAUCUUCGGGUGUUUCGGUGGGGGAUGGGCUCGCGGCCUAUCAGCUUGUUGGUGGGGUGAUGGCCCACCAAGGCGGUGACGGGUAGCCGGCCUGAGAGGGUGGGCGGCCACACUGGGACGGAGACACGGCCCAGACUCCGGCGGGAGGCAGCAGUGGGGGGUAUUGCACAAGGGGCGGAAGCCUGAUGCAGCGACGUCGCGUGAGGGAUGGAGGCCUUCGGGUGGUGAACCUCUUUCUCCGGUGGUGAAGGCCCUGUCCGUUGCGGCGGGGUUGACGGUAGCCGGGUAUGAAGCGCCGGCUAACUACGUG